UGGCAUGUGUGUUGUUGGUCGACCUGAGU
RNAcentral lists this non-coding RNA (29 nucleotides) under Mus musculus (house mouse). The record is from RNAcentral. Lineage: Eukaryota; Metazoa; Chordata; Mammalia; Rodentia; Muridae.